Molecule: ribosomal RNA, 860 nt
Filed under: bacterium SMCD2215
Lineage: Bacteria
Description: bacterial SSU rRNA
Rfam family: Bacterial small subunit ribosomal RNA
Source: RNAcentral
UAGGCAGUGGCGGCAGCUUACACAUGCAAGUCGAACGAUGAAGCCCUUCGGGGUGGAUUAGUGGCGAACGGGUGAGUAACACGUGGGCAAUCUGCCCUUCACUCUGGGACAAGCCCUGGAAACGGGGUCUAAUACCGGAUACGACGCGCUCGGGCAUCCGAUGUGCGUGGAAAGCUCCGGCGGUGAAGGAUGAGCCCGCGGCCUAUCAGCUUGUUGGUGAGGUAAUGGCUCACCAAGGCGACGACGGGUAGCCGGCCUGAGAGGGCGACCGGCCACACUGGGACUGAGACACGGCCCAGACUCCUACGGGAGGCAGCAGUGGGGAAUAUUGCACAAUGGGCGCAAGCCUGAUGCAGCGACGCCGCGUGAGGGAUGACGGCCUUCGGGUUGUAAACCUCUUUCAGCAGGGAAGAAGCGCAAGUGACGGUACCUGCAGAAGAAGCGCCGGCUAACUACGUGCCAGCAGCCGCGGUAAUACGUAGGGCGCAAGCGUUGUCCGGAAUUAUUGGGCGUAAAGAGCUCGUAGGCGGCUUGUCACGUCGAUUGUGAAAGCCCGAGGCUUAACCUCGGGUCUGCAGUCGAUACGGGCAGGCUAGAGUGUGGUAGGGGAGAUCGGAAUUCCUGGUGUAGCGGUGAAAUGCGCAGAUAUCAGGAGGAACACCGGUGGCGAAGGCGGAUCUCUGGGCCAUUACUGACGCUGAGGAGCGAAAGCGUGGGGAGCGAACAGGAUUAGAUACCCUGGUAGUCCACGCCGUAAACGGUGGGAACUAAGUGUUUGUCGACAUUCCACGUCCGUCGGUGCCGCAGCUAACGCAUUUAAAUUUCCCCGCCUGGGGGAGUACGGUCCGCAAGGCUAAAAU